Molecule: ribosomal RNA, 253 nt
Filed under: uncultured bacterium
Lineage: Bacteria
Description: partial 16S ribosomal RNA
Rfam family: Bacterial small subunit ribosomal RNA
Source: RNAcentral
UACAGAGGAGCCAAGCGUUGUCCGGAUUGACUGGGCGUAAAGCGCACGCAGGCGGCACCGCGCGUGGGGUGUGAAAUCUGGCCGCUUAACGGCCAGGCGCCAUCCCAUACGGCGGAGCUGGAGUGAUGCAGAGGUCGAUGGAAUUGCCGGUGUAGUGGUGAAAUGCGUAGAUAUGUGGAGGAACACCGAUGGCGAAGGCAGCCUUCUGGGCCAACACUGACGCUCAUGCACGAAAGCGUGGGGAGCAAACAGG